AGCCUGCUAAACUCUGAUUUCUGAGAAAAAGAAAGAAAUGAGACUGAAUCUAGAGCCUCACAGAUACUAAGCAUGCAUUUUACCAUGAAAGUAUACCCAGCCCAUGGAUCAAAGGAGAAAUCAUCAGCAUAGACCAUCCCUCCCAGAACUGCUACGCCCAGUCCACAUCGAGCCUGAUGAAGUGAAGACACAGUGGUCCAGUACUGACUAAAG
Molecule: long non-coding RNA, 213 nt
Organism: Chinchilla lanigera (long-tailed chinchilla)
Lineage: Eukaryota; Metazoa; Chordata; Mammalia; Rodentia; Chinchillidae
Exons: 3
Source: RefSeq, a predicted model, not a curated record